UACGGAGGAUCCGAGCGUUAUCCGGAUUUAUUGGGUUUAAAGGGUGCGCAGGCGGGGGAUUAAGUCGGCGGUGAAAUUUUGUAGCUCAACUGUAAAAGUGCCUUCGAAACUGGUUUCCUUGAGUGUAGAUGAAGUAGGCGGAAUUUGUGGUGUAGCGGUGAAAUGCAUAGAUAUCACGAGGAACUCCGAUUGCGCAGGCAGCUUACUAAACUACUACUGACGCUCAGGCACGAAGGCGUGGGGAUCAAACAGGAUUAGAUACCCGCGUAGUCCCUGA
Molecule: ribosomal RNA, 277 nt
Filed under: uncultured prokaryote
Description: partial 16S ribosomal RNA
Rfam family: Bacterial small subunit ribosomal RNA
Source: RNAcentral